AGAGUUUGAUCCUGGCUCAGAUUGAACGCUGGCGGCAUGCCUUACACAUGCAAGUCGAACGGCAGCACGGGAGCAAUCCUGGUGGCGAGUGGCGAACGGGUGAGUAAUAUAUCGGAACGUACCUUUCAGUGGGGGAUAACGUAGCGAAAGUUACGCUAAUACCGCAUAUUCUGUGAGCAGGAAAGCAGGGGAUCUUAGGACCUUGCGCUGAUUGAGCGGCCGAUAUCUGAUUAGCUAGUUGGUGAGGUAAAGGCUCACCAAGGCGACGAUCAGUAGCUGGUCUGAGAGGACGACCAGCCACACUGGAACUGAGACACGGUCCAGACUCCUACGGGAGGCAGCAGUGGGGAAUUUUGGACAAUGGGCGCAAGCCUGAUCCAGCAAUGCCGCGUGAGUGAAGAAGGCCUUCGGGUUGUAAAGCUCUUUUGUCAGGGAAGAAACGGUGAAGGCUAAUAUCCUUUGCUAAUGACGGUACCUGAAGAAUAAGCACCGGCUAACUACGUGCCAGCAGCCGCGGUAAUACGUAGGGUGCAAGCGUUAAUCGGAAUUACUGGGCGUAAAGCGUGCGCAGGCGGUUGUGUAAGACAGAUGUGAAAUGCCCGGGCUUAACCUGGGAACUGCAUUUGUGACUGCACGGCUAGAGUUUGGCAGAGGGGGGUAGAAUUCCACGUGUAGCAGUGAAAUGCGUAGAUAUGUGGAGGAAUACCGAUGGCGAAGGCAGCCCCCUGGGUCAAGACUGACGCUCAUGCACGAAAGCGUGGGGAGCAAACAGGAUUAGAUACCCUGGUAGUCCACGCCCUAAACGAUGUCUACUAGUUGUCGGGUCUUAAUUGACUUGGUAACGCAGCUAACGCGUGAAGUAGACCGCCUGGGGAGUACGGUCGCAAGAUUAAAACUCAAAGGAAUUGACGGGGACCCGCACAAGCGGUGGAUGAUGUGGAUUAAUUCGAUGCAACGCGAAAAACCUUACCUACCCUUGACAUGGAAGGAAUCCCGGAGAGAUCUGGGAGUGCCCGAAAGGGAACCUUUACACAGGUGCUGCAUGGCUGUCGUCAGCUCGUGUCGUGAGAUGUUGGGUUAAGUCCCGCAACGAGCGCAACCCUUGUCAUUCAUUAGUUGCUACGAAAGAGCACUCUAAUGAGACUGCCGGUGACAAACCGGAGGAAGGUGGGGAUGACGUCAAGUCCUCAUGGCCCUUAUGGGUAGGGCUUCACACGUCAUACAAUGGUACAUACAGAGGGCCGCCAACCCGCGAGGGGGAGCUAAUCCCAGAAAGUGUAUCGUAGUCCGGAUUGGAGUCUGCAACUCGACUCCAUGAAGUUGGAAUCGCUAGUAAUCGCGGAUCAGCAUGUCGCGGUGAAUACGUUCCCGGGUCUUGUACACACCGCCCGUCACACCAUGGGAGCGGGUUUUACCAGAAGUAGGUAGCUUAACCGCAAGGAGGGCGCUUACCACGGUAGGAUUCGUGACUGGGGUGAAGUCGUAACAAGGUAACCA
Molecule: ribosomal RNA, 1497 nt
Filed under: uncultured bacterium
Lineage: Bacteria
Description: bacterial SSU rRNA
Rfam family: Bacterial small subunit ribosomal RNA
Source: RNAcentral